GGCUCAGUCAGUAGAGCAUGAGACUCUCAAUCUCAGGGUCGUGGGUUCGUGCCCCAU
Molecule: transfer RNA, 57 nt
Filed under: Cricetulus griseus (Chinese hamster)
Lineage: Eukaryota; Metazoa; Chordata; Mammalia; Rodentia; Cricetidae
Rfam family: tRNA
About the family: Transfer RNA (tRNA) molecules are approximately 80 nucleotides in length.
Source: Rfam by way of RNAcentral